GGGAAGGAUGAGAAGCUUCGACCAAGGUUCGAUUCGAGCGUCAGCGAGAAAGCGUUGCCGCAGGCAACGACCCGAAGGGCGAAGCGCGCAGCGCUGAGUCAUCCUUCCCCCACCACCA
This 118-nucleotide small RNA is filed under the name Salmonella enterica subsp. enterica. Its description in RNAcentral is "RtT sRNA". It matches the Rfam family "RtT RNA", at positions 15 to 130 of the family's 130-position model. From Rfam's summary of the family: This family represents a bacterial cis-regulatory element known as RtT RNA. The exact function of RtT is unknown although it is thought that it may be involved in changing the cellular response in relation to amino acid starvation. RNAcentral also lists the same sequence under 1 other name. Lineage: Bacteria; Pseudomonadati; Pseudomonadota; Gammaproteobacteria; Enterobacterales; Enterobacteriaceae. The record is from RNAcentral.